RNAcentral lists this ribosomal RNA (466 nucleotides) under Vreelandella stevensii. RNAcentral describes it as "partial 16S ribosomal RNA". It matches the Rfam family "Bacterial small subunit ribosomal RNA", at positions 338 to 795 of the family's 1533-position model. The record is from RNAcentral. Lineage: Bacteria; Pseudomonadati; Pseudomonadota; Gammaproteobacteria; Oceanospirillales; Halomonadaceae.
CCUACGGGAGGCAGCAGUGGGGAAUAUUGGACAAUGGGGGCAACCCUGAUCCAGCCAUGCCGCGUGUGUGAAGAAGGCCCUCGGGUUGUAAAGCACUUUCAGUGAGGAAGAACGCCUGGUGGUUAAUACCCAUCAGGAAAGACAUCACUCACAGAAGAAGCACUGGCUAACUCCGUGCCAGCAGCCGCGGUAAGACGGAGGGUGCGAGCGUUAAUCGGAAUUACUGGGCGUAAAGCGCGCGUAGGUGGAUUGAUAAGCCGGUUUGUGAAAGCCCCGGGCUCAACCUGGGAACGGCAUCCGGAACUGUCAAGCUAGAGUGCAGGAGAGGAAGGUAGAAUUCCCGGUGUAGCGGUGAAAUGCGUAGAGAUCGGGAGGAAUACCAGUGGCGAAGGCGGCCUUCUGGACUGACACUGACACUGAGGUGCGAAAGCGUGGGUAGCAAACAGGAUUAGAUACCCUAGUAGUC